This 252-nucleotide ribosomal RNA is filed under the name uncultured bacterium. RNAcentral's name for it is "partial 16S ribosomal RNA". It matches the Rfam family "Bacterial small subunit ribosomal RNA", at positions 525 to 776 of the family's 1533-position model. The record is from RNAcentral.
ACGUAGGACGCGAGCGUUAUCCGGAGUUACUGGGCGUAAAGCGCGGGCAGGCGGUCUGACAAGUCUGAUGUGAAAUCUCCGGGCUCAACCGGGAGAGGCCAUUGGAAACUGACAGGCUGGAGGGCAGUAGAGGUAGGCGGAAUUCCGGGUGGAGUGGUGAAAUGCGUAGAGAUCAGGCGGAACACCCGUGGCGAAGGCGGCCAGCUGGGCCGUCCCUGACGCUGAGGCGCGAAGGCGUGGGGAGCGAACGGG